UCCUCUAUUUGUCUGAUUAAUAAUAACAACAAUAAUAGAAGUGCUUACUGUGUGCCAGGCCCUGUAGUACUAGUAAGUGCUCUAUGUAUAAUAUUGAAUCAGCACAGCAGUCCAAUGUGACAGCAUACUAGUUACUAUUAUCCCAUUUUAUGGACUAGGAAGUUGAGGCCCACACCACACAGGGUAAGUGAAUCUCACAAAGCACACUCUUGGUCAGAGUCGGAGCUCCGAUUCAAUCCCAGGUCUACCUGACACCAAAGCCUGGGCCCUUCCCACAGAGCAAUGCCUCCUACGUGGCUUGUCACUUGCUCCUCCUUGGAUUGCUUUAUGACUGGAAGUCUUAUCUUUUCAACAAAAGCAAGUGCAAGGACAAUGUUACCUGUUUCUUUUGAACGUGCAUUGCACAGGACUGGGUCCUGGGCAGAUGCUCAAAAAAAUGCUCGCUGAGUGUACAGCAGUAUUAAAAAAUGCCUUGUCACAGCACACAGCCAUGAAUGCGGAAGCACUCGAGACAAGCCAACUCUAGACAACAUUGCUCAGGUAAUGACUUGUGCCUGGAUUCCAUCCCUUGGCAGGAAGUGAGGCCUUGCUUCUUUAAUUGCCCUUGGUUCACGAGUUCAAGAACGGGGCUUGAAGAGAACUGCUCCCCAGCUCUGAGAAGCAGAAUGGUAGCAUAUUCCCCUGCUAGGCCUACACCAGUGCUGCUUUCGUUCACGGUCAACAACGCCCAGCGAGCUUGCUCAAGCACCCCAAAGGCAGGGCUCGCCCGGGAGGCGGGCAGGGGAGACCAGCUGUCCUUGAGAACACAGCCCUUCCAGCUGGCACGAGGGACACUGUUGGACGUCGGGCACUCAGGAACCUGGAGCAGAGUUUAGCUAAGGGGCAGCGCUAGCUGAGGCUUUUCUUUUCACAUUGAAAGAGAAGGAAGCCCCUCCUGAGAGAAUGAAGAGACCAGGAUAUAAGAAACUGACCCGCUUCUUCCCUCCUGCCUGGCCCAGCACCCUCUCUUCCCAUUAAAACUUGGGCACUGCAUCUGCUGAACUGGACCAGGGCCCACAGUCAGGCCUCAAUCUGGUUGUGUUAGUUCCCAAACCAGAUUAGUAACAUCAUCAACCUGAGAAAUGUAUACAAACUAUUGCUUCUCAAGGUAACUCCAAAAGAGGAUCCCAAGUUCAUCACAACUCAGCUAAAACAAAAGACCACGAUGCUUAACAUGGCCAUAGGUCUCAUAUUUACAAACCAUGUAAGAGACGUGUGAACACAUAAUCCAAUGUUAUAGUCUACCCAAUCAAAGUUGUGGACACAUUCAGUGUAUACCUUUAAAGUGUCCUUCAUGCUUCCCCACAGCUCCCCCUACUUCUAUCCUCCCACCCCCUUAAAGCACAGAUAGGCUUGCUGUUCUGAGUUCUAAUAAAUUUCCUGUUGGGACAUUUAUAACAGUUUCCGAUAUCUUCCAUCACCCUCAAAUCCAAGGUCAAAAACAAGGUCAAAGGCAUUUCCUGGCGUCUUUCAGGGAGCUCAUACCAUGUCACAGUGGGAAGCUUUCCUCUUACUGCUCAGAAGUUUGGGCACACGGAAAAUUUAGAACAUGGCGGGCGAAGAAUGAGAGCCUUGCCUGACUCUGGAGAGUUCUGUUCCAGAUAUCCUGGCAGUUACAACUACAGCUAGACCGAGCUGAGGCACCACACCGGGCAGCAGGAGCGCACCUUGUAAUCAGAGCGUGUGCAUACCAGAACAUGUUGUACCUUCUCUCCGUGAUGUUCUCAUCUUCCACUUGAGCCCCAUCUGAAUCCAAUCAUUUGCCUGCCUUCCUCUUUCUCCUUCAGAUCAGGAACUGACCCCAGGGAGAAGAGAACACUGUAUAUAUUUGUAAAACAUCUCUAAAAGUCUCAGAAAUUGCCAUAGGAGUAUAGUUUUAACAUUUUACUCAAUAAUAAUUCUGUUGAAAAUUCCAGGAUAGUGUCUGACUCACUGAGGCUUAUCAUGAAAAAUUGUGCUACAGCACAGAGUCCCUGGACCUCAGUGUCUUAUCCUAUAAAACAUGGGACGUGGGCUUGAA
Molecule: long non-coding RNA, 2059 nt
Organism: Myotis davidii
Lineage: Eukaryota; Metazoa; Chordata; Mammalia; Chiroptera; Vespertilionidae
Exons: 2
Source: RefSeq, a predicted model, not a curated record